Triticum dicoccoides is the source of this 996-nucleotide long non-coding RNA. RefSeq lists it as uncharacterized. The transcript has 4 exons. Lineage: Eukaryota; Viridiplantae; Streptophyta; Magnoliopsida; Poales; Poaceae. The record is from RefSeq and is a predicted model, not a curated record.
AUAAUCUAUUAAAUAAUGACUUGUACAUACGUAUUUUAUCAUGUCUACUAAUAAUCUCAUCACAUUGCAGUUCAUACAUCAGUUUAUUUUAUCCUGUUUCCUUCAUGUAUGUAUUUAGGCUGUUCAUUUUCCCUUUUUCAGAUGUAUGCCAUGUAUGUGUAGCCAUGGUUCUGAAACACCCCCAUUCCUUCUCUUCCUAUCAAUUUUCAUUGAUUCAGUUAUUUGACUAAAUGAUAAUAUAUGCCCCAGGGUUAAUUAGUACCUAAAAUGCUACCUUUGGUUUGUGAAAAAGAUCUAGAGUGGCUUCUGCAGCUCCUGUUAUGUUUCAUUGAUUCAGUCAUGUAGUAGGAUAGUUCCACUGGAUUUUACUAAAUGGUUUUGUAGCUUUACUUAGUGAAAAUGCCUCAAUUGGUUUCCGCAACAUUGCUUGUCUGUUGGCAGCUGGAGCAUACUUGGUACAUGAGCCUUGCCGUGAGUGGUGGUGCAACGGUGACCUUGACGAGCAGGGCAAUGGCCAGACACGAGUAAGACACCAAAGAUGACUGGAAGCACUCAAAAAAGUUUACCACGCUGGAGCUAUGUCAGGUUGUACGAGGGCAGUUAAUGAAUAUACUUGCGACCCUUUUACUCUCAGACUCUCCUCCUUUUCUCGCUGCUGAACCCCUGCCAUCAUCAUGUCCAGACUGGCUGUCUCCAUGGUUGUGGCGCCAAGGUCACCGCAUCUUACAUCCUGAUGCAUUUUCAAGAAGACAUUAUUUGAUGUUAGAUGGCCAUUAUGUUCGCUUCAUAUGGACAGAGGACUAAUGGUACUCUUCCAUGAAGAGAAGCAAGUGGAUCAGUAUGUAGUAGCAGGUAUCAAUGUUUUCUCAUACUGAUGAUUCUGAAGUAAUUAGAUUGAGAAAAUUGCUUUAUUCCCCAAUUUCUCUCUGAAACCUUUGCCUUGUCCAUAGUCAUACCUAAAUGAGUUACUUUAUUUCCUAUAGCUCUAUUACUUUU